This 426-nucleotide ribosomal RNA is filed under the name Oceanobacillus sp. RNAcentral describes it as "bacterial SSU rRNA". It matches the Rfam family "Bacterial small subunit ribosomal RNA", at positions 73 to 476 of the family's 1533-position model. The record is from RNAcentral. Lineage: Bacteria; Bacillati; Bacillota; Bacilli; Caryophanales; Bacillaceae.
AUCCCCUUCGGGGGUGACGCUUGUGGAAUGAGCGGCGGACGGGUGAGUAACACGUGGGCAACCUGCCUGUAAGACUGGGAUAACCCCGGGAAACCGGGGCUAAUACCGGAUAAUACUUUCUUUUGCAUAAAGGAAAGUUGAAAGGCGGCUUCGGCUGUCACUUACAGAUGGGCCCGCGGCGCAUUAGCUAGUUGGUGAGGUAACGGCUCACCAAGGCGACGAUGCGUAGCCGACCUGAGAGGGUGAUCGGCCACACUGGGACUGAGACACGGCCCAGACUCCUACGGGAGGCAGCAGUAGGGAAUCUUCCGCAAUGGACGAAAGUCUGACGGAGCAACGCCGCGUGAGUGAUGAAGGUUUUCGGAUCGUAAAACUCUGUUGUUAGGGAAGAACAAGUACGAUAGUAACUGAUCGUACCUUGACGGU